This is an RNA transcript of Nelumbo nucifera (sacred lotus), 2909 nucleotides long. It is a transcript of the gene named DEAD-box ATP-dependent RNA helicase 53, mitochondrial-like, with no coding region annotated. The record is from RefSeq and is a predicted model, not a curated record. NCBI's taxonomy places the organism in Eukaryota, Viridiplantae, Streptophyta, Magnoliopsida, Proteales, Nelumbonaceae.
AAAAGAACCCUGCUAAAUCCGAGUUCAACCCGAGUUCACACGCCCCACUGCGUCCCAUAACACAUCCAAACCGUGUAUUGCGAACAUCUUACAAUGAUAAGUACGGGAGAUGUUCGCAAUGCACGCUGAGAUGUACAUGUAAGACGAUCUUGCUAAACCCUUCGGCCAGCAUAAAUAUCUUCUCUGUCUAAACCCUCCCUUCGAGGUUUUUGAUUCCUCCCGCUCUCUGCUAUUGAAACCCUAAUUUGUUGGGGUUUCUCUGUCUCUCUAAGCUCGAUUUCUCACUCAUCUCUGUUUCUAUUUCUGGCAUUUCUAGGGUUUCUAGGGUCAUUUUCCGUUUCUUGGUUGAGAACUAAAAAGGGCCAUCUUUUACAACAUACCGGACAAGAUGAAUUUCCUCUUCAGGAAGUCAACUUCGAUCGUUUCCAUGGCGUCGAAGCAGACUCUCACUGCUUUGAUCUCCAUGGAGGCAUUUCGAGUUCUUCAGUCCGCAACAGCGGCUGAAGCCGUUAGAAAUGGUGUUUUCGGCGGUGAAGUCAGUUCAUUUUCGUCUUAUAAGGCGGCGGAAAAGCUUGGAUUCGGGUUUGGAGUUAGGGGUUUUCAUUUCUUGAGUAGGCCGUUAGAAUUUAGGGCUUCGUCGUUUGUACAAGCGGAGUAUGCUGUAGAUGAUUUUUCGGAUGAGGAGAAGUCAGUGGGAAAGAAGGUCGGUGGAGAUAGUGAAGAAGGACUUGAUAUCUCGAAGCUCGGGAUUGCGCCGGAGAUCGUUUCUGCUUUGGCUAAGAAAGGAAUCACUAAGCUUUUCCCCAUACAGAGGGCUGUCCUGGAACCAUCAAUGCAAGGACGUGACUUGAUUGGUCGGGCCAGAACUGGAACGGGGAAAACUCUAGCUUUUGGCAUUCCCAUAAUGGACAGAAUCAUUCAGUUCAAUGCUAAACAUGGACGUGGAAGAAAUCCUUUGGCCUUGGUUUUGGCUCCAACAAGAGAACUUGCUCGGCAAGUUGAGAAGGAAUUCCAUGAAUCUGCCCCCAACUUGGAUACAAUCUGUGUUUAUGGUGGUGUUCCUAUAUCGCGUCAAAUGAACACACUUGAUUAUGGUGUAGAUGUAGUUGUUGGCACACCUGGUCGUAUUAUUGAUUUGCUUAAAAGAGGUGCUUUGGUUUUGUCGGAGGUCCAGUUUGUUGUCCUAGAUGAGGCAGAUCAGAUGCUUGCUGUGGGGUUUGAUGAAGAUGUAGAAGUAAUAUUAGACAAGUUACCUCAGAAGCGUCAAAGCAUGAUGUUCUCUGCCACCAUGCCAAGCUGGAUAAGAAAGCUGACACAGAAGUAUCUUAAAGAUCCAUUAACUAUUGAUCUUGUUGGGGAUUCUGAUCAGAAAUUGGCAGAUGGAAUUUCUCUAUAUUCGAUUGCUUCAGACAUGUAUGGGAAGGCAUCAAUCAUUGGAUCCCUGAUAACAGAACAUGCAAAAGGAGGCAAGUGUAUUGUUUUUACUCAAACAAAGCGUGAUGCUGAUCGGUUGGCACAUGCCAUGGGGCGCAGUUUUAGAUGUGAAGCUUUGCAUGGGGAUAUCUCUCAAAACCAGAGGGAAAGGACACUUUCUGGCUUCCGAGAUGGACAGUUUAACAUUUUAGUUGCUACAGAUGUUGCUGCUCGUGGGCUUGAUAUUCCUAAUGUUGAUCUGGUGAUACAUUAUGAACUUCCAAGCACAUCAGAGAUAUUUGUUCACAGAUCUGGUCGAACAGGUCGUGCUGGAAAGAAAGGAAGUGCAAUUCUCAUCUAUACAGAACAGCAGGCCAGGGCUGUCAGGAUGAUUGAGCGGGAUGUGGGAUGCAGGUUUACAGAGCUACCCAGGAUUCCUGUUGACCCAGCAAACCGUGAUAUGUUUGGUGAUAUGGGUGGUGGUGGUAGGUUUGGCUCUCAUGGAGGUGCAGGAGGUGGUCGGAGUGAUUCAGGUUUUGGUCGUGCUGGUGGCUAUUCUGGGUUAGGACGCGGUUCUGGUUUUGGUAGUCCAUCAGGUCGUAUGGGUGGACAUGGUGGAUCAAGUUCAGGGCGAUUUGGUGGUGGUUUUGGCAAUGAUGGCCCCAGUAGAUCUGGUAAUUUUGGUCGGUCAGGUGGCUUUGGUCAAUCCAGUGGUUCUGGUCGUUCCAGUGGGUUUGGGGAAUUUGGUUCAGGUCGCUCUAGUAGUUUUGGUAGUUCUAGUUCAAGUCGAUUUGGUGGUAACUUUGGUAACUCUGGUUCAAGCCGUUUUGGUAGCUUUGGCGAUGACAAUGCUAGUGCGGAUGAGGAUCAGAGGUCUGGCAGGAGAUCAUUUUGAUUUAUUUCAAGCUAAAGUGUCUGGAUGGGCCUUCUUGUAAUACCUGCUGGCUAAAGUGGGUUGCAAAAGUUCUCCAUGUGUUCUGCUCCCAUGGUCCCUAUAUGGAGUUUCGGCUGGGUAGCGCUGUACAAAAGGGCAAAAAUACUGUUCUUUACUUGAAAAACGAUAUAAGUGUGGGAUUGGGAGACAGGCUAAAGGAUUACUGGAAAACGACGGACAGUCAUACUAUGUAAAGUUGCUUUAGCGGUGUAGUUGGCAGUGGGGUGGUGUCAUGAUUUUCUUAAUGUUUUAAGUGACUCUAGAUAUCUAGGCAGAUAUUUUGCUGGUGAUAUUAUAUUACAAGUUGAGGAAGAAAAUAAGCUCAAGAUCGAAUCAUACAAUACAUGGAAAGCAGGAGAGCUCUUGUAAUCUAUUUCAAAUCAUGGAAUUGAUGUUUUUUCUCUUCAUUGAUCUUCAUCUUUUAUGUUAUUAUCCUUGCUCUGUUAUUUCUCUCCGACCAUCUGAAUUUGAUUGCAUGUUUGCAUGCGGUGCUGGUAUCAGUUUACUGUUGGCACUGGUUGUACAAGUCCAGAUUAGGCGUAAGAAAACUAUUUGAAGCUAA